GUCUUCACUGGAGUGCUGCAAGCUCGAAGUGUGAUCCUUAGUAGCUGUUAUUCAAUACCAUAUGCUCUUAAGGACAACGCCCUGAUGUCCAAGGUCAAUCAGCAAGAAGCUGAGAAGGCACUGUCAAAAUGGUUCACUGGGGCAAGGGACAGAGGAGGACAGAGAGCAUCAAGAAUGCAGAAAAGGAUGUCUGUUUGAGAAAGGUUAUAACUACAGUUGCUGAUUUGAACUGUCAUAGUUCUUUUAUUUUUCUUAAAGGAAAACCUUUUUCAAUAUUUUACCAUGUUCUUCCCUCAACUUAGAUGAAUUAAUACAUACCUCUAUUUUCUCAAUGCGUGCACUUAAAGGUGGGGUGCACAAUUUCUGAAAAAUAAAGUUUUGGAAAAGGGAGUCGGGCCGACUACCAAAACACACUUCUAGCCAAUCAGCAGCAUGUCUACUAACUGACAUCGUUUCCUGCGUUGCGUAUUUGUGGGACGGGUCUAUCAAAAAAAGGUCCAGAUUCUAUUAGUGUAAGGGUGUGUUUGUUUGGAUGAUUUCAAAUGUAAACAUUGGCUUUCAUGCACCCUGCCUUUAUUUGUUGUGAAUUGUGGCGUGAAUAUGUUAGCAUUUAGCCUAGCACCAUUCAUUCAUUAAGAUCCAAACAGGGAAGAAUUUAAAAGCCACCAAACACGUCCAUGUUUUCUAGGGGUGCACGAUUCAGAAAAUUUCACGAUUCGAUUCCG
Long non-coding RNA from Paramisgurnus dabryanus, 725 nucleotides. RefSeq lists it as uncharacterized. NCBI's taxonomy places the organism in Eukaryota, Metazoa, Chordata, Actinopteri, Cypriniformes, Cobitidae. The record is from RefSeq and is a predicted model, not a curated record.